UACGUAGGGUGCAAGCGUUAUCCGGAAUUAUUGGGCGUAAAGAGCUCGUAGGCGGUUUGUCACGUCUGCUGUGAAAACUGGAGGCUCAACCUCCAGCCUGCAGUGGGUACGGGCAGACUAGAGUGCGGUAGGGGAGAUUGGAAUUCCUGGUGUAGCGGUGGAAUGCGCAGAUAUCAGGAGGAACACCGAUGGCGAAGGCAGAUCUCUGGGCCGUAACUGACGCUGAGGAGCGAAAGCAUGGGGAGCGAACAGA
RNAcentral lists this ribosomal RNA (253 nucleotides) under uncultured bacterium. Its description in RNAcentral is "partial 16S ribosomal RNA". It matches the Rfam family "Bacterial small subunit ribosomal RNA", at positions 524 to 776 of the family's 1533-position model. The record is from RNAcentral.